AGUGAACGCUGGCGGUAGGCCUAACACAUGCAAGUCGAACGGCAGCACAGUAAGAGCUUGCUCUUACGGGUGGCGAGUGGCGGACGGGUGAGGAAUACAUCGGAAUCUACUUUUUCGUGGGGGAUAACGUAGGUAAACUUACGCUAAUACCGCAUACGACCUACGGGUGAAAGCAGUGGAUCUUCGGACCUUGCGCGAUUGAAUGAGCCGAUGUCGGAUUAGCUAGUGGGCGGGGUAAAGGCCCACCAAGGCGACGAUCCGUAGCUGGUCUGAGAGGAUGAUCAGCCACACUGGAACUGAGACACGGUCCAGACUCCUACGGGAGGCAGCAGUGGGGAAUAUUGGACAAUGGGCGCAAGCCUGAUCCAGCCAUACCGCGUGGGUGAAGACGGCCUUCGGGUUGUAAAGCCCUUUUGUUGGGAAAGAAAAGCAGCAGGUUAAUACCCCGCUGUUCUGACGGUACCCAAAGAAUAAGCACCGGCUAACUUCGUG
Molecule: ribosomal RNA, 492 nt
Filed under: uncultured bacterium
Lineage: Bacteria
Description: partial 16S ribosomal RNA
Rfam family: Bacterial small subunit ribosomal RNA
Source: RNAcentral